RNAcentral lists this long non-coding RNA (208 nucleotides) under Elaeis guineensis (African oil palm). RNAcentral's name for it is "long non-coding RNA (EGUI_LNC049494)". Lineage: Eukaryota; Viridiplantae; Streptophyta; Magnoliopsida; Arecales; Arecaceae. The record is from RNAcentral.
UCCGGACGUCGAGUAUUAUUGCUAGAUAGUUAUUCUGAUUGGUACAAAAAUUAGUUCUUGUGCUAUCGACUUAGGUUCGAACCUAUGGGAUCAUACACAUUAGAAGUUUCUCUCUGAUCAGAUGGCUAAUCUGAUGAGUCCCACUGGAUUGAAACUCUGGUGAAGAGUCCCACUGAUUGGGACUCUGCUGAAGAGUCUCACUAGAUGG